ACAGAGAGUAGCUUGCUACUUUGCUGACGAGCGGCGGACGGGUGAGUAAUGCUUGGGAAUAUGCCUUUUGGUGGGGGACAACAGUUGGAAACGACUGCUAAUACCGCAUAAUGUCUACGGACCAAAGUGGGGGACCUUCGGGCCUCACGCCAAAAGAUUAGCCCAAGUGGGAUUAGCUAGUUGGUAAGGUAAUGGCUUACCAAGGCAACGAUCCCUAGCUGGUUUGAGAGGAUGAUCAGCCACACUGGGACUGAGACACGGCCCAGACUCCUACGGGAGGCAGCAGUGGGGAAUAUUGCACAAUGGGCGCAAGCCUGAUGCAGCCAUGCCGCGUGUGUGAAGAAGGCCUUCGGGUUGUAAAGCACUUUCAGUAAGGAGGAAAGGGUAGUCUUUAAUAGAGGCUAUCUGUGACGUUACUUACAGAAGAAGCACCGGCUAACUCCGUGCCAGCAGCCGCGGUAAUACGGAGGGUGCGAGCGUUAAUCGGAAUUACUGGGCGUAAAGCGUACGCAGGCGGUUUGUUAAGCGAGAUGUGAAAGCCCCGGGCUCAACCUGGGGAA
Molecule: ribosomal RNA, 560 nt
Filed under: Alteromonadales bacterium HD-C-02-2
Lineage: Bacteria; Pseudomonadati; Pseudomonadota; Gammaproteobacteria; Alteromonadales
Description: bacterial SSU rRNA
Rfam family: Bacterial small subunit ribosomal RNA
Source: RNAcentral